Molecule: ribosomal RNA, 339 nt
Filed under: Calliobdella nodulifera
Lineage: Eukaryota; Metazoa; Annelida; Clitellata; Hirudinida; Piscicolidae
Description: partial 12S ribosomal RNA
Source: RNAcentral
UUANAUUAUUAAGAUGGCUAUUAAAAACAUUAGUUCUAAAUCCAAAUAAUUUGGCGGUAUUUUAAUAAAUCAGGGGAACUUGCAAAUUAAAUCGAUAAUCCACGAAAUCCUAACCUUUUAUAGAAACUCAGUUAGUGUACUGCCGUAUUUAUAUAAAUUUAUAAUUAUAUGUGAGCAAAAUAUAAAAAUAUUUUAUACAACAGGUCAAAGUGCAGCUUAUAUAAAAGGAUUCUGUGUGUUACAAUAUAAAAAAAUACAUGUUAUAAAUUAAAUUAUAUAUUUAUUAAAUUGGACUUGAUAGUAACUAUAAAAUAUGGUGAAAUAAAUCUUAAAAUGUGU